Molecule: ribosomal RNA, 501 nt
Filed under: Triticum aestivum (bread wheat)
Lineage: Eukaryota; Viridiplantae; Streptophyta; Magnoliopsida; Poales; Poaceae
Description: partial small subunit ribosomal RNA
Source: RNAcentral
AUGAAACUAGCGAUUUCAGUUUGUCUCAACAGCAACAACAACAAAAAACUAGUGCGGCCGGCCGAGACGUCGUCGAGAUGCGUGACGAACAGCGUCACCGCGAUGCACGACUUCGAGGUGCACAACCACCCGCUGCUGGACGACCUCGGCGUCGGCAAAUACGUGAGCUCCAGCACGUUUAGCGCCGGCGGUUACGACUGGUGCAUCAGCUUCUACCCGGACGGAAACAAAGAGGAAAACGCUGGCUACACGUCGGCGUUCCUCAACUGCGUCAACCCACCAGCUGAUGGCGUGAGGACAAAGGUGGCCGGCGUCGAGGCAGCGGAGGAGGCGGCCGAGCCGGCAGCGCCCGACCCUGCGGCGCCCGAGUCAGGGGCGGCGGGUGAAGGCGAGGCGCCGACCGCGCCGUUGGAGCCAGCCGAGGAGGCUGGGUGGGUGGGCGCUGGCAGGAGGGCGCGGGGACCGCCAAAGCCCGGAGGGCGGUCCACGAGCCAGACGUGA